UUCUUGGGGUUGUAGGACACUCUAUACGGAGUUACAAAAGAAAGUUAUAAAUGAAGCGGUCUGGAAAGGCCCGCCAAAGACGGUAACAGCCCGGUAGUUGAAAUGGCUUUCCCUCCAGAGUGGAUCCUGAGUACGGCGGAACACGUGAAAUUCCGUCGGAAUCCGGGAGGACCAUCUCCCAAGGCUAAAUACUCCCUAGUGACCGAUAGUGAACCAGUACCGUGAGGGAAAGGUGAAAAGCACCCCGGAAGGGGAGUGAAACAGUUCCUGAAACCGUGUGCCUACAAGUAGUUAGAGCCCGUUAAUGGGUGAUAGCGUGCCUUUUGUAGAAUGAACCGGCGAGUUACGAUUUGUUGCAAGGUUAAGCGGAAAAAGCGGAGCCGUAGCGAAAGCGAGUCUGAAUAGGGCGCAUAAGUAACAGGUCGUAGACCCGAAACCAGGUGAUCUACCCAUGUCCAGGAUGAAGGUAAGGUAAUACUUACUGGAGGUCCGAACCCACGCACGUUGAAAAGUGCGGGGAUGAGGUGUGGGUAGCGGAGAAAUUCCAAUCGAACUUGGAGAUAGCUGGUUCUCUCCGAAAUAGCUUUAGGGCUAGCCUCGAGGUAAAGAGUCAUGGAGGUAGAGCACUGUUUGGACUAGGGGCCCUUCUCGGGUUACCGAAUUCAGAUAAACUCCGAAUGCCAUGUACUUAUACUCGGGAGUCAGACUGCGAGUGAUAAGAUCCGUAGUCGAAAGGGAAACAGCCCAGACCACCAGUUAAGGUCCCCAAAUAUAUGUUAAGUGGAAAAGGAUGUGGGGUUGCUUAGACAACCAGGAUGUUGGCUUAGAAGCAGCCACCAUUGAAAGAGUGCGUAAUAGCUCACUGGUCGAGUGACCCCGCGCCGAAAAUGUACCGGGGCUAAACAUAUUACC
This 912-nucleotide ribosomal RNA is filed under the name Listeria monocytogenes. RNAcentral's name for it is "partial 23S ribosomal RNA". It matches the Rfam family "Bacterial large subunit ribosomal RNA", at positions 289 to 1195 of the family's 2925-position model. The record is from RNAcentral. Lineage: Bacteria; Bacillati; Bacillota; Bacilli; Caryophanales; Listeriaceae.